UACGUAUGGGGCAAGCGUUAUCCGGAUUUACUGGGUGUAAAGGGAGCGUAGGCGGCCUGGCAAGCCUGAUGUGAAAUACCGGGGCCCAACCCCUGGGCUGCAUUGGGAACUGCCAGGCUGGAGUGCCGGAGAGGCAGGCGGAAUUCCUAGUGUAGCGGUGAAAUGCGUAGAUAUUAGGAGGAACACCAGUGGCGAAGGCGGCCUGCUGGACGGUGACUGACGCUGAGGCUCGAAAGCGUGGGGAGCAAACAGG
This 253-nucleotide ribosomal RNA is filed under the name uncultured bacterium. RNAcentral describes it as "partial 16S ribosomal RNA". It matches the Rfam family "Bacterial small subunit ribosomal RNA", at positions 524 to 776 of the family's 1533-position model. The record is from RNAcentral.